Molecule: ribosomal RNA, 688 nt
Filed under: uncultured bacterium
Lineage: Bacteria
Description: bacterial SSU rRNA
Rfam family: Bacterial small subunit ribosomal RNA
Source: RNAcentral
UGCAAGUCGAGCGAUGAAGCCCUUCGGGGUGGAUUAGCGGCGGACGGGUGAGUAACACGUGGGUAACCUGCCUCAAAGAGGGGGAUAGCCUCCCGAAAGGGAGAUUAAUACCGCAUAACAUUAGUUUUUCGCAUGAAGAACUAAUUAAAGGAGUAAUCCGCUUUGAGAUGGACCCGCGGCGCAUUAGCUAGUUGGUGAGGUAAAGGCUCACCAAGGCGACGAUGCGUAGCCGACCUGAGAGGGUGAUCGGCCACAUUGGAACUGAGACACGGUCCAGACUCCUACGGGAGGCAGCAGUGGGGAAUAUUGCACAAUGGGCGAAAGCCUGAUGCAGCAACGCCGCGUGAGUGAUGAAGGCCUUCGGGUUGUAAAGCUCUGUCUUUUGGGACGAUAAUGACGGUACCAAAGGAGGAAGCCACGGCUAACUACGUGCCAGCAGCCGCGGUAAUACGUAGGUGGCGAGCGUUGUCCGGAUUUACUGGGCGUAAAGGAUGCGUAGGCGGAUAUUUAAGUGAGAUGUGAAAUACCCGAGCUUAACUUGGGUGCUGCAUUUCAAACUGGAUAUCUAGAGUGUGGGAGAGGAGAAUGGAAUUCCUAGUGUAGCGGUGAAAUGCGUAGAGAUUAGGAAGAACACCAGUGGCGAAGGCGAUUCUCUGGACCAUAACUGACGCUGAGGCAUGAAAGCGUG